GUUGCUGGUGAAGGGAGGGCGAGGUAACAGUGCGAGCGAGAGCCUGAGUGAGUGCAAGGGAAGCCUUAUCACGGAGGCACGGCUGAAGACAACAUUUGCAAAAUGCCGAAUAAAACUAAAAAAGAGAAGGAACCAACCAAAUCUGCAAAAAGCAGCACGAAAAACAGUAAUGCCGGUGGCGGAAAGGAUGCUGGGACUGAAAAUUCAGAAGAGGCCCAGCAGACAGCCAGCAAGCGUCCGAGCAACAGCACUCCACCUCCCACUCAGCUCAACAAAAUUAAGUACUCCGGUGGGCCUCAGAUUGUAAAGAAGGAGCGUCGACAGAGUUCGUCACGAUUCAACCUCAGCAAGAACCGGGAACUGCAGAAGCUUCCCGCCCUCAAAGAUGCCCCACCCAUGGAUCGAGAAGAACUGUUUGUCCAGAAGCUGCGGCAGUGCUGUGUGCUUUUCGACUUUGUGACUGAUCCACUAAGUGACCUCAAGUACAAAGAGGUGAAGCGAGCUGGCCUCAAUGAAAUGGUGGAGUACAUCACACACAACCGCGACGUGGUCACAGAGGCCAUCUACCCUGAAGCUGUCAUCAUGUUUUCUAUAAACUUGUUCAGGACUCUGCCGCCCUCUUCUAACCCCACGGGAGCAGAGUUUGACCCAGAGGAGGACGAACCCACUCUAGAGGCAGCUUGGCCUCACCUGCAGCUGGUGUAUGAAUUCUUCUUAAGAUUCCUGGAGUCACCUGACUUCCAGCCAAACAUUGCCAAAAAAUACAUCGACCAAAAGUUUGUAAUGUCGCUUCUGGAGCUUUUCGACAGUGAAGACCCCCGAGAGCGGGACUUCCUGAAAACCAUCCUGCAUCGCAUCUACGGAAAGUUCCUCGGGCUGAGAGCCUACGUUCGCCGGCAGAUCAACAAUAUAUUCUACAGGUUUAUAUACGAGACGGAGCAUCACAAUGGGAUUGCGGAGCUCUUAGAAAUCUUAGGAAGCAUAAUUAAUGGCUUUGCCCUGCCACUGAAAGAGGAGCACAAAAUGUUCCUCAUCAGAGUGCUACUGCCUUUACACAAAGUCAAGUCUCUCAGCGUCUAUCACCCACAGCUGGCCUACUGUGUGGUGCAGUUUUUGGAAAAGGACAGCAGCCUCACUGAACCUGUGAUUAUGGGCCUGCUAAAGUUCUGGCCCAAGACCCACAGUCCUAAGGAGGUGAUGUUUCUGAAUGAGCUGGAGGAAAUCUUGGAUGUCAUUGAGCCCUCAGAAUUUGUUAAAGUCAUGGAGCCUCUCUUUAGACAGCUGGCCAAGUGUGUAUCAAGUCCGCACUUCCAGGUUGCUGAAAGAGCAUUGUAUUACUGGAACAAUGAGUACAUUAUGAGCCUGAUCAGUGACAAUGCCGCCAAGAUCCUCCCCAUCAUGUUUCCCGCUCUCUACAAGAACUCCAAGAGCCACUGGAACAAGACAAUCCAUGGGCUUAUCUACAAUGCUCUGAAGCUGUUUAUGGAGAUGAACCAGAAGCUGUUUGAUGACUGCACUCAGCAGUACAAGGCUGAGAAGCAGAAAGAGAAGUACAAACUAAAGGAGCGGGAAGAAAUGUGGCAUAAAAUUGAGGCGCUAGCAAAACAGAACCCUCAGAGUACAAAGAUUCAGCUGCGGCCCGGUCUGGCUCAAGAGGAAUAUAUGAUGUAUAAUGAAGGAGGGAUGCCCCUGUACUCAAUGGAGACAGAGACCCCAACAGUCGAGGACAUCCAGCUGCUGAAGAAGACUGUGGAAUCAGAAGCCACACCGGGGUUGAAAGAAAUCAAGAAAGAUAAGGUUUUGAUGAGGCGAAAGUCUGAGCUGCCGCAGGACGUGUAUACUAUAAAAGCCCUGGAAGCUCACAAGCGAGCGGAGGAGUACCUGACGGCCAACCAGGAAGCCCUCUGACCGGGGAGCACCGCCACCCUCCACCGCGCCUAAACUGUCCCUCUCGUCUUGGUCCAAAAUUGUCGCCUGCUGUAACCCACCUCUCUAUUCCUCUGCCUCUAUCCAUACUCUCUUCCUCCCUCACUGUUUGGAGAGCCCCGUCUGCAAAAAUCCAGUCCGCAGAGCAUUGGAGAGCUCCCAUGAACUCUGUCCCACCCCCUAUGUGCGCACAAACGCUUUCCAAAGUCUUCACAAAUCCAUAGCUGCUGAUCCUCACAUCCAACAGAAGCUGUUAGAAAGCAGUGUGGGUUACAAAUAAUCAAAGUAUGCUCUUGUUGUGGUUUGUUUUUCUCUCCACACUCCACUUUAUUUUGCCCACUUUAUGCUGUCUCCAUUUGUCCGCAUGUUCCCUAUCCCGUUUUUACCACUGCUUGAGAGCUUCUCCUGUACUCCAAUCACUGCCUCUGUAAAUCUGUUUGCAAUGAAGGGGCCACACUUAACUCAAUGAAUCAUGUUACUCAAGAUAAAUGAAGACCUCAGUGGAGACGGUGACCCUCAGCGUAGGGUCUGUAGCCAAACAUGAACGAUCAGGGCUAUUCUUGACGUCAAAAAACUACAUGGAGAAACUUGUUCCUUCCUAAGAAGCUUUAAGAAUUAGACACGCAAAUUGGAGAUUUGCCAAUCAAUUUUAGGUGCUUCCCUAGAUAUAUACCUGAAAUGGUUUCUCCAUAGUGGCCUGGUGCUGUAAAUGCUUUAGGUAGUCAUCUGAAGAAGUCAUUUUUGAGGUCACGGCCACAUAUGAAGAGGCAGAGGCUGAAGAGUUCGACCUAAACUGUUUGCUGUUUUCCCACUGAUUGUUAAUGAUCGUCAAAAACAAGAACAAAAGGGAGAUUUGUGUAAGCAAUCAUCUCUAUAUACACCACCAGCAGAGCGCUUGCUGAAAAUGCUGUAAAAGUAGUAGCGGAAAAGACAAGAAUGUGCUCUAAACGCAUGCACCAGUGGUCUAUCGGUCCACUCUGCACUUACGUUUGUCUUUUCGUUUUAAGACGGAUACCUCUUUAACAUAUACCCAUCAAAUCGAAACUUCCUUUUUUCACCGCCUAGCUUCAGUACGGUGUCUUGUUUUUGCUUCAUAGGUUUCUGUGAUGUAUGAAAACUAGACAAAAACGAAAAACAGACUCCCGUCGAGCCUUUAAAAAAAUUAACCGUUCAAGAUCGGGAACUACUGUCCUGUCCGAAAUCGUACAUCUUAUUUAUUUUAUUUUUUUUUUAACUUUAAAGCGCCUAAGCAAUAUUUUUUUCAGGAAUUAGAACAGAAUGGAGACCAUGCACUGGUCUAGUGUACGAUCAAGCGCUAUACAAUCCUCCUGAUAGGACUAUAUACUUGCAGAGAAAAGAUACUCGCUUUCCUGUCCAGGCUUAAUAUAUGGAAAACCGACAGCCAUCGCUAAUACUUGUGUACUGUAUAUUGUCAUGUAUAUUGCUUAUGAUUGCGCCCUUGCCCGCCCUUCAGUAUUCCCUUUCUGCCCCAAGUUCAUCUUUUCUUUCAUUCUGUUUGAACGACUCCAUUCUGAUGCAUGAUGUCCCCCUCUCUGUUGUAAAGGUCUGUCCCGUGAAGUGUCACUUUGAUCAUUCCAAUAGUGAGGGAACAUUUACUCCUCCUACAGGCUGCUGGACAAUGCAAAACGUCAUCGCAGCUCAAAGGUCUCGCUGUAAUGAUGUCCACUUGCUGUGCAUUCAAGCUGCUACACUUCUUCCAUCGCUCCAAACAUGCACAUACGUUUCAACUCGUGCUAUUACAGCUUAUUAGUGUGCAGUGCAGAGGUGAAGUCUUGAAAUCAUUAGCUGUUUGAAGUGUUGUAACGUCACCUCGGCCUAUCAGCGUACGGGAAUGACUUGUCCGUGCAAUCAAGAGCAUGAAUUGCCAACCUUGUUGCCUCUAAAUAAUAGACCAAAACAUUCCAGAAACAAUCAGAGGCAACGUCACUCUUGAACGCAGCAUGCUUCCUUUCUCAAUGCAGCUUGACAGGCGGAUGGGGCCGGUGUUCAGCUUGUCCGGCAGCAACAAGAAACAGAGGGAAAUUAAGAAAGUAUGGGUCUCUCCACACUCACCCGUCCCUUUCCCUCCUCUCCCAGUCCUCCUUCCCAAGUCUGACACUAAUCUUAAGCUGCUUUCCAGGUCAUAUGUACAUAUGUUGUACUUUAAUUAGGUUGAGCAUUACAUAGUAUGAAAGUCAUAUUUUGUACAGAUGUUCAUGUAUGUACAGAACAAAAAUAAAGAAACACAAAAGGUGUGACGGCCAUUUGUGUUGCUCGAGCCAUGUGAGAUAUAUAUAAAGGAUCAGUCACUCAUUGCACAGGUAUCAACAGUCAGAUCAAUGGAGAUGUGAGUAUUACUGAGAUGCACCUUCACAUGUCUAUACUGUCAUACAAAAGCAACCACUAAGUUUAGCAAAAUUCUUCACUUUACAAAAGAA
Sinocyclocheilus rhinocerous is the source of this 4364-nucleotide RNA transcript. It is a transcript of the gene named protein phosphatase 2, regulatory subunit B', delta, with no coding region annotated. The record is from RefSeq and is a predicted model, not a curated record. Lineage: Eukaryota; Metazoa; Chordata; Actinopteri; Cypriniformes; Cyprinidae. The transcript is spliced from 18 exons.